This 404-nucleotide ribosomal RNA is filed under the name uncultured prokaryote. RNAcentral's name for it is "partial 16S ribosomal RNA". The record is from RNAcentral.
CCCUAUGGGGCGCAGCAGCGUGACGAGCCGAGCUUCGAGAAGUUCGAGGUGCAGCGGGCCAGCGGAAACUCGCCGGGCCUGUUCAUCACGCUCCGCGAUCAGUCGUUCGCCACGUUGGAGACCACGGUUUCCAUCCCGGACGGCGGCACAGUGCUGCUGGGCGGGCUGAAGCAGGUCGGUGAAGUCGAGAUGGAAGCCGGCGUGCCAGUUCUGAGCAAGAUCCCGGUCCUGAAGCGGGCAUUCACCAACCAGACCACGGUCAAGGAUACGCGCACGCUGCUGAUUCUGAUGAAGAGCAAGAUCAUCAUUCAGAAGGAGGCCGGGGACGAGGCCUUCCCGACGUUUACGCGUUCCGGCAUGUAAUGCAGCCGGGCGGGUUGUGGUGACAGCCUGGGCGGGGGAGC